This 440-nucleotide ribosomal RNA is filed under the name uncultured bacterium. Its description in RNAcentral is "bacterial SSU rRNA". It matches the Rfam family "Bacterial small subunit ribosomal RNA", at positions 338 to 795 of the family's 1533-position model. The record is from RNAcentral.
CCUACGGGUGGCAGCAGUGGGGAAUCUUAGACAAUGGGCGAAAGCCUGAUCUAGCCAUGCCGCGUGUGUGAUGAAGGCCUUAGGGUCGUAAAGCACUUUCGCUGGGGAAGAUAAUGACUGUACCCAGUAAAGAAACCCCGGCUAACUCCGUGCCAGCAGCCGCGGUAAUACGGAGGGGGUUAGCGUUGUUCGGAAUUACUGGGCGUAAAGCGCGCGUAGGCGGAUUAGAAAGUUGGGGGUGAAAUCCCGGGGCUCAACCUCGGAACUGCCUCCAAAACUACUAGUCUAGAGUUCGAGAGAGGUGAGUGGAAUUCCGAGUGUAGAGGUGAAAUUCGUAGAUAUUCGGAGGAACACCAGUGGCGAAGGCGGCUCACUGGCUCGAUACUGACGCUGAGGUGCGAAAGUGUGGGGAGCAAACAGGAUUAGAUACCCUUGUAGUC